GCCACGAUGGAGAUAUUUCUCAGCAAGAUGUGGGCACAACAGUCUCCGAUUGCCAGCCCGAGUCCUAUGUCACCUUUUCCACUCUCCUGCGACCGGACAUCAGAGCAGACUGUGGAACAGCCCCAAGGUUCUCUCCAUCUAUCCCGUCUCUCCCCUCCUCUCCUCUGCUGUGCACCUGCUCCUCCCCUCCUGCCUUCUUAUUAUCCUCAGACUCAGACUCAGAGAGAGCAGCGCUCCGUCCUCUCGCCAAGUGAUGUUCCUCGGCGGCUGCAGAGGAGAGGACCACUCCGGCUUCUUUCCUCUGGAAAACACGCACCGGAGGACCGGCAGAUCAUGGGAAUAUAACGGGGAAAUUGUGAGAGAGUGAGCCGGACGAGGGUAUAAUAGGACGACAAAGAAGAAGUCCCAUCCGAGAGAGGAGAGGCAGGAGGAGGAGGAGGAGGAGGAAGAGGGGGAGGUUUUCUUUCCUCCUGUACAUAGUUUGAAAUGGACUAAAGGUGUUUGUGUUGUUUGGUUUUGGAAGAUAAAAGCCAGAGGAUUUGAAGGAAUAGGUUGUUGGAGUUGGUGCAUGCAUGUGAUGGAGAUGGUGAUGGAGAUGAAGUGAGUGGAAGCGCACUGGGAACUUCAUUCUCGCCAUGAAAUCAGUGUUUUUCAGCCGCUUCUUCAUCCUGCUGCCCUGGGUCCUCAUAGUCAUCAUCAUGAUCGAUAUCGACAGUAAAAGGGCGAUCCGGGCUCCUGCAGCUGCUCGGACCGGCAAGGCGCAGCGGGCAGCCCGGACUGGAGCACCGGGAGUCACCACCCAGAACAAAACCGAGCUGCCGGUCAUCUACGCCAUCACUCCGACCUACACCCGUCCGGUGCAGAAAGCGGAGCUGACCCGGUUGGCCCACGCCUUCCGCCAGGUGCCCCGGUUCCACUGGAUCGUGGUGGAGGACUCGACGACGCGCACGGAGCUGGUGGCGCGCUUCUUGGCGCGGUGCGGCGUGCCGUUCACGCACCUGCACGUGUUCACUCCGCGCAGGUUCAAGCGCACCGGGAUGCCGCGCGCCACCGAGCAGAGGAACGUGGCUCUGACGUGGCUCCGGCAGCACCGGGGCAAGCGGGACACCGGGGUGGUUUUCUUCGCGGAUGAUGACAACACCUACAGCCUGGAGCUGUUCGAGGAGAUGCGUAGUACUCGGGGUGUUUCUGUUUGGCCGGUGGGAUUUGUAGGCGGCAGAGCGUAUGAGCGACCCCUGGUUUCCGGGGGUAAAGUUGUGGGCUGGUACACCGGCUGGAGACCGGACCGGACCUUCGCUACGGACAUGGCAGGUUUUGCGGUGAACCUCCAGGUGAUUCUGGCGAACCCGCGGGCGCAGUUCAAGCGGCGCGGCUCCCAGCCGGGGAUGCAGGAGUCCGACUUCCUCAAACAGAUCACCAAGGUCACCGAGUUGGAGCCCAAGGCCAACAAUUGCACCAGGGGAGGAGGAGAAAGAUAGAGCAGGAAGGAGGACAGAGAAGUAAAAAAACAAGAGCAAAGCCGUGAGAGAAAAAGUGGACGUGAUGAAUGAGGAAAAAUGGAGAGCAAACUGUGCAGAAGUAGAAAAGAGAAGUGCGAGUCCGGGGCAGCAGGGAGGGCACUCUGACUGCAUGAUUAGUGCUGGUUUGGCACACUCGCACAGAGAAACCACACCUCGCAAACGAGCUCAAACAUCGGAAAGACACUGUGGUCAUCGAGGUGUGAGAGGAAGAGCUGAGCGGCGGAUCCUAAAACCAGGUGCCGGUCGUGGCUGCCCUUCAUCUCUUGGCCGGGACUAACGACAGCAUGGGCCGAUGCAAUCUGUUCACGCUGGACACAGACUCUGAGGAGCUGCAUGAUUCAAGACUUCUGGCUGUCUGUCAAACGUGCUUACUGAGAACUGGACAACACUGAAUAUGUUCUUCUUACAAACUGGGAUUACUGGGACUGUUUAUUUCCUCCAUCCACGGCUUGUUGAUGUGAAAAGUAUAAAUGUAAAAAAGAUGAUCAUGUUGCUGAAGUGCCAUGUGAAUAAUUAAUGUCAUUUUAAUCAUUAAUACAUCAUUGUCAGAUUAACUGUGAUUCCGUGAUAUGAUUACCAUACAAUCAAUGCUCCUGGUCCCGAUAACGGUGUUGCAAUGCUGUUUCUUUAACAGCAGAUAAGAAGAUUGAUACAGAUUUUAUAAUGCAUUAAAGCCCCUGUCCAGUGUA
Molecule: RNA transcript, 2209 nt
Organism: Sebastes umbrosus (honeycomb rockfish)
Lineage: Eukaryota; Metazoa; Chordata; Actinopteri; Perciformes; Sebastidae
Gene: b3gat2
Gene name: beta-1,3-glucuronyltransferase 2 (glucuronosyltransferase S)
Exons: 6
Source: RefSeq, a predicted model, not a curated record